Molecule: ribosomal RNA, 310 nt
Filed under: uncultured Methanomicrobiales archaeon
Lineage: Archaea; Methanobacteriati; Methanobacteriota; Methanomicrobia; Methanomicrobiales
Description: bacterial SSU rRNA
Rfam family: Archaeal small subunit ribosomal RNA
Source: RNAcentral
AAGUCAGGCAACGAGCGAGACCCACGCCAACAGUUGCCAGCUCGUCCUCCGGGAGUGGUGGGGACGACUGUUGGGACCGCCUCUGCUAAAGAGGAGGAAGGAAUGGGCAACGGUAGGUCAGCAUGCCCCGAAUUAUCUGGGCUACACGCGGGCUACAAUGGGUGGGACAAUGGGUAUCGACACCGAAAGGUGAAGGCAAUCUCCUAAACCCAUCCGUAGUUCGGAUUGUGGGCUGCAACUCGCCCACAUGAAGCUGGAAUCUGUAGUAAUCGUGUCUCAAAAUGGCACGGUGAAUAUGUCCCUGCUCCUU